Molecule: ribosomal RNA, 343 nt
Filed under: Nepalomyia sp. 2 SNK-2009
Lineage: Eukaryota; Metazoa; Arthropoda; Insecta; Diptera; Dolichopodidae
Description: partial 12S ribosomal RNA
Source: RNAcentral
UAAACUAGGAUUAGAUACCCUAUUAUAAAAAAUGUAAGUUUAUACUGGAGUAGUAAUAGUUAAGAUCUUGAAACUCAAAAAAUUUGGCGGUAUUUUAGUCUUUUCAGAGGAACCUGUAGUAUAAUCGAUAAUCCACGAUGGACCUCACUUAAUUUUGUUUGUCAACUUGUAUACCGCUGUUAUUUGAAGAUUUUAUAAGAAUAGUAAUUUUCAUAAUUUUAUAAGUGAUAAUAAGUCAGGUCAAGGUGCAGUUAUAAUUAAGAAUUUAUGGGUUACAAUAAAUUUAUUUAAGCGAAUUAUUUUUUGAAAUUAAUUUAUGAAGAUGGAUUUGAAAGUAAAUUUU